Choloepus didactylus (southern two-toed sloth) is the source of this 2296-nucleotide long non-coding RNA. RefSeq lists it as uncharacterized. The record is from RefSeq and is a predicted model, not a curated record. Lineage: Eukaryota; Metazoa; Chordata; Mammalia; Pilosa; Megalonychidae. The transcript is spliced from 7 exons.
GUGUGUUAUUGGAAACUGGAGGAAAGGCAAUCCUUGUUUUCAAGUGGUAGAGAACUUGGCAAAAUUGAGUUCUAACGUCAGAUGGAAGGCAGAACUUGAAUGCGAUGAACUUGGAUACUUAAACGAGAUUUCCAAGCUAAGGAUGGAAGGUGCAGCCUGGUUUCCCCUUGUUGCUUAUAGGAAAGGGAUCCCUGUGAACUGCAUACACAGCCCACCAUGUUUCUGUGGAAUUUGUUUGAAUGGCACCAUUGCCACCCUGGACUGAAAGGGACAGAGAAGGGACAAAUCAAAGGGAGAAUGAAUUUAAGAGCAGAGCCAUGGAAGCUGAGGUCUGGACUGCAGAGCUCUCCUCAGGUCAAGACAGCAGGUCUACCCAUGUAUGUGGAAAGGGCAGGCUCACCCCUGUAUUUGGAGGGGGGGGGGCAGUCCAUCUGCCCCAGUGCUUGGAGGCCUUCCACCUCAUUGUUCAGGCAGAGUGCUGCCACUCCAAAGCUGAGAGGAGGUGGGGCCUGUGUCCUGGCGUUUCUGUGUUGCCUCGCCGGCAUCCUGAUGCUCAGAGAGGGUGGGAUCUUCACCCCAGUGUUUGGGGAGAGCAUGGCCACUGCACAAGUGCUUGGAAGGGGUGGGACUGCUGCUCUCUCAGGCCCAGGGGACAAAACAUCCAUCCAUAGAUGACUCUCAGACCUUGAAAUCUAAUAGAGUUUGCUCUGCAGGGUUUUGGAAUUGCUUGGGACCCAUGACCCCUGUUUUCUUUCCAAUGUCUCCCUUCUGGAACGGCAAUGUCUAUCCUAUGCCUGCCCUCUCUUGUUUACUGGAAGCAGGUAAUUUGCUCUCUAGCUUUCACAGGUCUAUAGAUGGAGGGGAAUUGUACUCCGGGACAGACCACACCCAUAACCAAUUUUGAGGAGACUUUGUACUUAGCAUUGUUACUGAAAUGACUCAAGGCUUUUGGGAUGUUGUGAUGGAAUGACUGUAUUUUGUAUGUGGGAAGAACGUGUUUCUGGAGUCCAGAGAUGGAUGGUAGUGGUUUGGAGCUGUGUAUCCCAGAACAUGUUCUUAAACUUAAUCCAUUCCAGUGGGCGUGGACUCGUAAAUAAGAUCUCUUCAAGAUGUUACUUUAGUUAAGAUAUGGCCCAAAUGAAUCAGGUGGGAUUUUAAUCUGAAUUACUGGAGUCCUUUAUAAGCCAAGUGAAAGUCCGACACAAAAGCCACAAAGGGAGCAGCUCGAAGCUGAAAGUCCACAGAACUCGGAAACCAAGGGAGAAGCCAGGAGAGGCCGCCAUGUGACAGAGGAGCCAAGGACCCCAGAACGCCACAGUCUUCAGGAAGACAGCAUUGCCUUGAGGAUGCCUUGAUUUGGACUUCCCCUAGCCUCAAAACCUGUGUUCAGACUAGCAAAUUGAAGAGGUGAUGAAGAAAGAGGCAGUUGCCACAUUAUUUUUUCAGAGAAGUGGGCAGGGAUGUUCCGAUUCCCUGGAUGUAGAAGGUCACAAACUCAGACUCCAUUUUACUCCUGCUUCAAGAGCACCUCCUUAAACUUUAGUUUUGAAAAGCCUGGAAUUGGCAGCAAACGAAAUCUUUCAGAUUAUCUGGGAAUUUAAGAGACUUACGCUGCUUCUGAAAUGUACAUGAACAAUUGUAUGCUCCUUAAAUGUGACUCAAUCCUCUGCAGAUGGAUCUGCUCUUGGAAAUCAUGUUUCCAAUUACUGACCCAGAGUGUGUAAGGUUCCUUUCUCACAGAUGGAGGAUAUUUUUUCUUUGUUGGGAAUGUUUUGUUCCAUAGGAGGAGGCUGUUCUUGGGAACCCCGGCGUUGCAUAGAGCAAGGGAAUGAAGAAGCAGCUGAGGAGGUUCUUACAGAAGCCGAAGGACAACAGAGGUCAGAUCUACAGUGGAAACAAAGGUGCACGACUGCUAAGGACCACACAUGACAGUUACCAACCAGUCCACAUAGUUCUGCAUUCUAAAAUAUGAGUGGACAAGCAAGGAAAUCACUUGCAGCACAAUAGAGAAAGAAAGGGUCCCCUAGGACCUUGCUUCUCAGCGUGGCUCCAGGGACCAACAGCAUCUAACUGUGGAGCUAAUUGGAAAUGCCAAUCUCCGCCCCCAGCCCAGACCUGCUGCACUUAACAAGAUCCCAGCUCAUGGAUGGGCUCGUGAAAGCUUGAGGAGCCUGGCUCCAGAGCAAUCCUUGCUAAAAUGCAGCUUCUGAUGAAUUGAAGAAAGGGGCUCCUUCUACUACAUUUAAGAAAAUUAUUGCCAAGUACCAAGGGAAAGAAAAAAGGGGAAGUAAAGAGU